AUACGUAGGGGGCGAGCGUUGUCCGGAAUGAUUGGGCGUAAAGGGCGCGUAGGCGGCGCGGUAAGUCUGGAGUGAAAGUCCUGCUUUCAAGGUGGGCAUUGCUUUGGAUACUGUCGCGUUUGAGCGACGGAGUGGAUAUCGGAGUUCCCGGAGUAGCGGGGAAAUGCAUAAAGAUCGGGAGGAACACCAGUGGCGAAGGCGGGUAACUGGACUGCAACUGACGCUGAGGCGCGAAAGUGUGGAGAGCAAACAGGAUUAGAUACCCUGGUAGUCCACACUGUAAACGAUGAAUGCUAGGUGUAAGAAGUAUCGACCCCUUUUGUGCCGGAGUCAACACAAUAAGCAUUCCGCCUGGGGAGUACGGCCGCAAGGUUGAAACUCAAAUGAAUUGACGGGG
Molecule: ribosomal RNA, 397 nt
Filed under: uncultured bacterium
Lineage: Bacteria
Description: partial 16S ribosomal RNA
Rfam family: Bacterial small subunit ribosomal RNA
Source: RNAcentral